RNAcentral lists this long non-coding RNA (39903 nucleotides) under Coffea arabica (coffee). RNAcentral's name for it is "long non-coding RNA (CARA_LNC006959)". The stretch from base 32800 to 32906 matches the Rfam family "Plant small nucleolar RNA R71". Lineage: Eukaryota; Viridiplantae; Streptophyta; Magnoliopsida; Gentianales; Rubiaceae. The record is from RNAcentral.
CCCCAGUAUAUAAGUCACCACCACCACCUCCUCCAGUGUACAAGUCUCCGCCACCUCCAGUCUACAAGUAUAAGUCACCACCACCUCCUUCCCCAAUUUACAAGUCACCACCACCACCUCCUCCAGUAUACAAAUCACCUCCACCACCUCCUCCAGUUUACAAAUCUCCACCACCACCAAUUUAUAAAUACAAGUCUCCUCCACUACCUCCUCCAGUGUACAAGUCAUCACCACCACCUGCUUACAAGUCUCCACCUCCUCCAGUUUACAGUUCCCCACCACCACCAAUCUACAAGUCUCCACCUCCACCCUACCAUUACUACUACAAUUCUCCUCCUCCUCCUCGUCACUACUAAGCAAUUGUAUCCAAGUUUUUGAGGUAAUAACGUUUAACCAAUAAAUUAACUUUCGCAUGAUAAACCUUAUCUCUAUCUAGACAAACUGCCAUGUGUAUAAUGCCAAAUACGUACACCUAGAUCCAUGAAAAUGAGUGGUAGAAAGUUUUCUUAAGAACCAAGGAACAGCAUUAGUAUUCCCUCUGCUUCCAAACACUUGUGUAUUAAAUAGAUUAAUGAAUUGUUUAACAUGCUCAUCUACUUGAAAAUGCACAAUACCCAUAACCCACUGAAAUUUUUGCAGGAAAAGGGAAAGAGAAUCUGUGUUUGAGAGCUUCAUGAAGAUGUUGAAGAAUAAGAAUAAAAGCCCAAUGCGAGGAUGUUUUCAAGUUUUUCUAUGUUUCCACUUUAAUUUGUAAAUUGAAUUUUGCGACUCAAUUAAUUCCCUGUUUGUGGGGUACGUAUUGUUUUACGUACCAUGCCGUACAUGUUUGUAAGGAUUUCUAUCCUAUUGGCAAAAGUCGGUUCCGUACAAUUAAUCAAUUCAUUUCACUUCUAUUGGCUCUACUAUUUAUGCAUGUUACGACAUUUUUUCUCUCUUUCCCUUAUAUUUUGCCUUUAAUAUUAUUGAGUCAAUAUUAAUAAUGGGCCUUUUUCUUAAAAUUAUACUAUUAUACAUAGGUAGUUUGGUCUAACGCUAAAUUCAUGUUUGUCUUUCUUUUAUUCCCUUUACAUCUCAAAGUAUACUAUAGUUUGUAAUCAUUGUGGUGAUGAUAUUACCAGCUGGUACUUAUAGUUUAAGGCAGAGACAUGAUAUUAACAACUAUCUCAUUGAAACAUAAGGAAAAAUCAUGACAAGUGUGAGUCUUGGUUAAUGCACAAUUUGUUAGUGGAAUUUAUAUUUAUAAAACUCAAAAAAAAUUUUUGACAAUGCUAUUACUAAUUAAUUAAGGACUUUAUUGCUAUAACUUAUCGCUUACUAGUUUAAACUAUAAAUGAUCUCAAUACUUUUCUCCAUGAUGUCGAUUUCUUUAGACUACGAAAGGGAAAAAUUAGUGACAUAUCCUCUACUGAUUACAACAUCAGCAAAAAUUAGUUAUAAACUUUUCCGGUGGUUUUAAAUCCCUCGGGCCCUAAGAUUUUUUGCUCAUCGAGUGAAUUAAGGAACAUAGGCAAUUCGUUCUACAUACCAAGUCCUUGUUUAAGAUGCAAGUACUAAAAUGCAUCCACUUCAUUAAUUUGGGAAAUUGCCAUAGUUUUUUUUAAGCAUUUUGAUUUUUUACAUGAUUCAAAAUUUUCUGAUUGGAUACAAUCACUUUGUAUCAAGAACACAUUUUCAAUCACCUUUUUUUAUCUUCUCAAUAAGAAAAUAAAAAUUUAUUCAUGCUUUUCUAACAUAUUCAAUCAUUGAUCUGAAAAUUAAAACAUUAAAAAAAAAGGACAUUUUCAAUCACUGCUUACAGGGCAACUUCCCCAUGUGAACCUCUUCAAACAAAGCCAAUAAUAUGAAGGAAUAUCUAAAUAUACUUUUGCCCUAAAGGCUGGUUGCCUUGGGGUCAAAAUUUAACCUUCCGGAGUAUAAUUACCCUGCCAAAUUUAUUUUUUUUUUAUGGGUAUAUAGUUCCAAUUUUGCCUCCUGUUAAGCUUAUAAAUAUAUUAUCACCCAGAAAAUAAAGGAAUCUUGAAUACUAACAUGUCCAUUGACUUGAGUUGUCAUCAAUUUGGCUACUUCGAUUCCAUGAGGCCAAUCCAAUUCACACUAGCUAGAGAAAAUGGUGACAAAGGCACUUAGAAAAUUAUAUGUAAUAUUGAUUGGUAGUAACCAGCUUGUAUUGAUUGGUAGUAACCAGCUUGUGCUCUUAUGAAAAAAAAAUUAGCAAAAUUUAUGAGAACAAUUAAAUUUAUUCGUACAAAUCAGUCAAAGAAGUAGUAUUUUAAAGACCGUGAUGAAAUUAAUACUUUCAAGGUUUCUAUUAGGAAGACUUCCUUUGUUGGUGAAACUACACUAGGCAGAGUUAUAUGGUAUCAAAAAAUAGUUGUAUUCACGUCUGUUCUUUUUUUCUUCCUUAAGUUUUUUUCUUUAUUCUCGUGACUUCAAAAAUACGAACUCAAGAAAUUGGCUGCUCAAUCAGUAUGUCAUACAGGCUUCGCUAGUGAGGUAUAACUUCACAACUAGAGCCAAUAGAAAUCGUCAAAUGAUUUUUUGACAUCCAAAUUAAGCAAUAAAUUUUGUUUUCAUUUCAUAACAUAUAAUAGUACUACUUCAUGGGAGAUUUUAUAGUUUCUUUAGGGUAUCAUACCUACAAGUGAUAUUUGUCAUUGGAUAGUGAAAGAAGUGUUAAUGACUGUAAGAUUAAAUAUUGUUAAAUAUUGAAAAUUUAAACUAUUUAUCUUUAUUGAGAGAUACAACUUAAAGAAUCCUACCCAAAAGAGACUAUAGAAUUUUCUCUGUUUUUCAUCAUCUGUAGACAUAAAUUUUGCCUAUACAAUGUGAUAGCAUUUUUUCAAAAAGACAAGAUGGAAAAUUGCCCCCCUUGAACGGAAAAUUGCCCCCUUGUCAAUUCUUUAAAAAAGAAUACUCGCUCCUGAACAUAGCCUGUUCAUCUACACUGUCCCGCAGAAUUCUAGAAAGUUAGGCAAAACUAGACUAGUUGACAGGUAUAAUCAUACCCAACAUCAGGAACAAGCAGUUGCACAUUUCAAAAUUCGCUGCUGCAACAACUAAUUUGAUGACUUACAACACUACACGGUCAAACUUUGAAUGGCAAUGGAUCUUUUGAUGUAAUUUUCAUGUUACAUACAUUAAUAGAUUGAUAUCUAUAUUCUUUAAAUUAUCGUAAUAAUACUCUUAAUUACAUUUAAUUGAUAAAAAGAACACGUGUCAACACACAAAAAUGUGUAAUGUGAAUGUUACAUUAGUGUAUAGCAGAAGACCUAUAGUCUCUUCACAUCUCUUCCUGCACGUAUCAAUUCGUUUCCUCUAGAUAAUAAUCUCCCAACUCAUUUCUUUACAAAUGCACCUUUUAUGUUUUAUUACCUCCAAAAGCCUUUACAGGGUCUUUACCCUAAAAAUCAAUUCACCGACUCGCAUUUGAUAUCAGAAAUUCUUAUUACGAAUUCUACUUUACUCAAAGAUUGACUGUUAAUAAUGAGACAACGACCAUUUUGUAUUAUUACACCGUCCUUCUUGAUAGGCAAAAGAAAUAGAGAGGAAAGCGGGUCCGUAUAUGGUCUUUUAUUCAUAGAUAAUACAACAUUACGCCAUCGAGCAUUCACACAAUAUUUCAAAGUCAUUGCAUGCCUAAGACCCUGUUUGAUAAUCCAAUUCCAUACUUAAAUUUAAUGGAUUUAAAUCUUAACACAUUCAAAUCGUUUGAUAACAAAAAAUUGAACAUUUAAAUUAAUUAAGUAACACUGGAUUUCCAAGACAAAACUUGCUCCCAAAAUUAAGUGAUAAGUGAAUAACUUAUCACUGAAUGUAUGUAUUAGAUUUAAUACUUAAUAAUUUAAUAAUUUAAUGAAUUCAGAUUUCAGAUUUCAGAUUUCAGAUUUCAGUUUUCAGUUUUAUCACACACACCCUAAGUUACAAAUUAAUACCAAAACUUGUUAUUAUAUAGCUUGAGAUUCAAAAAUUUAGAGCAUAAUUCUCAACCUAACACAAUUGAAUAAUGAAUAUUCACGAUUGUCAAAACUAUCAAAGUACAAUUUGAGGACAACCCAUUCCAACGCGUACACGAUUUUUAACUUUUCUAAAGUUGUUGAGAGCUGUUGAAAGAGAUUUACCAUGUUUACAUCUUCCAAGUCUUGGGAGUAAAAAAUGAAGCCACUGAGUGCUAUAAAAAGGGGGCUAGAGGCUGCCUAGAAGCAUAUCAGCCUAAAACAAGAAUUUGUAGUAACAAUGGGGAGCAAAGCAAAAGCAACGGAGUCUAGGCUGACUCCUCUUCUUACCACUGUUUUAGUGGUAUUUGUUGCCCUUGGCUUGCCCUUGGAAACUGCAGCUGAUUAUUACAAGUAUUCAUCUCCUCCUCCUCCUCCUUACCACUAUUCCUCACCACCACCUCCUGAGUAUUCACCUCCACCAACCCCUGUUUAUAAGUUACCCCCACCAUCUCCUCCAGUUUACAAGUCCUCACCGCCACCUUACCACUACUCACCACCUCCGGUGUAUUCACCUCCACCAUCACCAGUUUACAAGUCACCGCCACCACCCCCUCCAGUAUACAACUCCCCGCCUCCACCAGUGUACAAAUACAAGUCCCCACCGCCACCUCCUCCAGUUUACAAAUCUCCACCGCCACCAAUUUACAAGUACAAGUCACCCCCACCACCUCCUCCGGUAUACAAGUCUCCUCCGCCACCUGUUUACGAGUACAAGUCUCCUCCACCACCUCCUCCAGUGUACAAGUCUCCACCACCUCCAGUUUACAAGUACAACUCACCACCACCUCCUCCCCCAGUUUACCAAUCUCCACCACCACCAGUUUACAAAUACAACUCACCACCACCUCCUCCCCCAGUUUACCAGUCUCCACCUCCACCCUAUCAUCACUACUACGGUUCUCCUCCUCCUCACCACUACUAAGCAAGUGCAUCUAAGUUUUGAGGUAAUAAUACCUAUCCAAAACUUUAUCAACACAAACUGCCAUGUAUAUCAUGCUAAGGACGUACACUUGAUCCAUGAAAAUGACUUGUAGAAGAUUUUUUUUAAGAACCAAAGAAAUACAUUAUUUUUUCGGUCUGUUUUCAAGAAUUUGAGCAGUAUACAGAUUAAAGAGUGUUUUUUUUUUUAAACUUGCUUAUCAACUUAGAAAUGCACAUAGCUGAAAGCCAACUGAAUAUUUGCAGGCAAAGGAGAAGACAAUCGGUGUUUGCGACCUUCAAGAAGAUGUAGAAGAAUAAGAAUAAAAGCCCAAUGCGAGGAUGAUUCCAAGUUUCUACGUUACCAUUUCUACAUCUAAAUUGACUCUAGCUCCUGAGUUCCAUGUUUAUGGGGUUUGUACCGUUUUACGUACCAUGCAGUGCAUGCUUGUAAGGUUUUCUGUCCUGUUGGCAAACUGCAGGUCCAUAUAAUAAAAGAAUACUAUUUAUAUUACGACACUUUUCUCUCUUUCUCUUAUAUUUUGUCUUUAAUAUUGUUGAUCAUUUUUUUUUAUUUAUCAAAAGUAUCAAAUGUUUAGGUAAUUUGGUCUAAUGCUAAUUGUUUUACUUCUCUUUUUCACCUACACCCCUUUUCAACUCAAAGGAUGCUAUAGUUUGUGAUAAUUGUUUAAGACCGAAGCAUGAUACUAAUAAAUAUCUCAUUGAAAGUCAAGGAAACUAACAUUAUGAAAAGUGUAAAUCUUGAUUUGAUGAAACUAUUUAUUCGUGGAAUUUAGAGAUACAAAACUCAAAUUGUGACGGUGCUGUUGCUAAAUUAUUAAGGACAUUAUCACCACUAUUUUUCCCUUACUAGUUUCAACUGCAAUGAUCUCAAUCUUUUUGUGACUAAUUCUUUUCUUAAUAAUUUAUAAAUACAAAACUCACAAAGAAUAUGUGACUAAUUCUUUCCUUUCGUCUUCUAAAGAAAAUGGCAACUGUUAGUUUAUCAAGGGAAAAAGGAUCGACAUCAGUUGUUAUUGAAACUAGUAAGGAAAAAAUAAUGGUGAUAAUGUCCUUAAUAAUUUAACAACAGCACCAUCAGAAUUUGAGCUUUGUAUCUAUAAAUUCCACGAAUAAAUAGUUUCAUCAAAUCAAGAUUUACACUUUUCAUAAUGUUAAGUUUCCUUGACUUUCAAUGAGAUAUUUAUUAGUAUCAUGCUUCGGUCUUAAACAAUGAUCACAAACUAUAGCAUCCUUUGAGUUGAAAAGCGAAGUAGGUGAAAAAGAGAAGUAAAAAAUACAAUUAGCAUUCCCUCAAAUCGUAGAAAGUUAGGUAGCAUUAUAGACAAGUUGAUAGCCGUAAUGAUACUAAAAAUCAGGCAAAAGCCAGCAAUUUUACAUUUCAAAAUUCACCUAUCCAAUAACUAAUUCGAUGGCUUGCUACAUGGUCAAUCUUUGGACCCCUUCCUGCCACCACAUAUCCCUUUCCUCAAUCAGGGGCUUCUACAAUUACCAGUUCCAAUUGUAUGGUAUAGUGUAAAUAUCAACAAAUCAGAUGUAGACGCUAAUUUAAUAAAUGUGGAUGCUAAGACAACAACAUACAAAAACAUAAUAAAUUUUGGCAUUCCUUAAAAAAAUUAAGUCCCCAAAUCAAUCUCAUACACCCAAUUUCUAAUUUAAUUUAACCCAUUCCCUCUAUUAACUACACCAUACAAUACAAUCGAACCCAUUCCCUUCUAAUUUCUUCACAAAAUGCACCUUUCAUCACCGACAUGAUCUUUACCCUAGAAGACUAUUCACCGACUCUCCAUUGACGUCAGAAAAUCUAAGAGUAAUUCUACUUUACCCUAAGAUUGAUAUCAACGAGACAAUAAUGACAAUUUAGAAUUAUUACACGCCUCUUCUUAAUAGGAAAAAGAAAUACAGAAGAAAGUCAGGCCAGGUCUAAUUCUUUUUCAAAGGCAAUACAAUAUUACGAAAUCAAGCAGUCAUUCAUACAAAUAUUUCAUAGUCACCGGCCGGGGUUUGCUGAGUAGAAAAGUUUAUACAAAAACUUAAUAUUAUAUUGUUUAAGAGUUAACAAUUUAGAGCUUAAUCUCCUUGUACUUUGGACUAAACUCGAACGUGAAAGGAAAUCCCAAAACCAUAUUGGGCAUGAAUUCACACUUAAUAGACCCAAAAGAAGAUGGCGACUGGUGAAAGGCAGUGGAGACUGGUGGAGAGAUUUGAGGAAUAGAAGCAGACGGAAAAGCAACAAAUUUUUGCCGAAAAACGGUCACUUUCAUGGUUAAUUUUGCUACUCUCUAAUUGUACUUGACCAAAUACAACAAUUUCAUGGAGUUUGAUACACAAGCCCAAAUACACGAGAGUGUGUAACCUGAAUUGUUACUUAUACAUUAGUGUGUAAUAGAACGGCAAGCAUUAUGGUGGUCAUUGAGCAACUUAUAGAAGAAAUAGUCCUAUAAGCUGUUCGAUGACCAAUCGCAACUUGCUAAUUGGAUGACUAAUAUAGCUCUAGCUGUAAUGUUUUAAUUAAAUUCCAUCACUAACGUUGGGAUGACUUUUUAACCAAAAAAAAAAAAAAAGCCUUAGUUCAAGCUUUUCCCCUUAUUGUGCAUUUUUUAAAACAUUUGAUAGGCACUGCAAAUCUGUCAUUUUGGACAUCAACCCAUAUCCAACACAAGAUUAAAUUAAUAUUAGAAAAAAUUAUUACGUAAUUGGAAAAAAAAAAAGAAGAGACUAAUUUUCAUUGAAACCCACCGACAAACUAAGCGUGUCCAUAGCUUUUGAUUAGUUCAUUGCCGAUCACAUGGAGUAAAGAUUGUGCUCUUUCCCUUUCCCCCCCUUUUGGAAUCGAUACUGUGGAGAAUUGGCUUUUUCCCUCCUUUUUUUCUUUUCUUUUCUUUUCUUUCCUUCUGUACUUUGCAAAACAUAGGUAAAAAUAUGAAAUCCGAAGCAUUCUUUAAUUGGGAUUAAGUAUUGUUCUUGAAAUUAAAAAAAAAAAGAAAGAAAGAACAACAAAAAUCCCAAUCUGGGUUGAUUGUUGAGCUCUAGAUUGGCUGCAUCGUGCUUCCAUAGAAGUUCUCUUAGUGUGAUACGCUGCUUUCAAUCAGUUUUAACACGGGAAAAAGAAAAGACAUGAAAAGCAAAUUUUGUGGGGAUAAUUUCGGUAACCUCCCCUGAAGUUUUUGACUAUUUUACUGGCCUCCCUUCAGAUUUUAAAAAUUGCACUAAUCUUCCUUAAAGUUAAUUAUCUUGUAACAUUUAGAUCCAAUCAAUAAUUUAAAAAAUGAUAUUAUGAGAGAGAAAAUAAUAUGAUUUUAUCAUUGCCCCCAUCUUACUACAUUAUUUAAUUAAUUUAAUAGCAACCCACACAUUAAAGAAAAAUGCAAAAAUUUGUUGUUUAUCAUUAAAGAUCAUCAUAUCGCAUAUAACAUCAAAAAAUAGUAUAUUAUUUAUAUUUUUCACUUAAUAUAAUAUCCAAAUUACUCUUUUCAGUUACAUACCCAUUGUUAGACAAAAUCAACAACAAAUAACCAAAAAAUUUGCAACCAAAAUAUUACAAAAAAAUAAACUUUAACAUCAUAAAUAUUUUUAUCAACAUAUUAAAGUUAGUUAUUGAAAUUUUUAUGGUGUUAAACUUCACUCUUUGUAAUAUUUUGGUUACAGAUUUUUUUGAUUAUUUGUUGUUGAUCGUGUUUGACAAUGGAUUUGUAACUGAAAAGAACAAUUUGGAUCUUACAUUAAGUGAAAUAUAUAAAAAUAUUAUACUAUUUUUUAUGGCAUAUGUGAUUCUUUUUUUUUUUUUUUUUUUAUCAGAACGGCAACAUUGUAUUAAUAGUAAACCAAUUACAGUAUAGGUGGGCAACCGCCCUCACAAUCUGCCUGGACUUGUUCCAGCAGCCAAACUGGGAAGUUUUCCUUCCAUUCAGUAUUUUGUUCCAAAGUAAUAGCUACUUUAGCUAGUUUAUGGCUAACAAAGUUGUUCACCCUAUUUGCAAAGGUAAAACAACAUUCAUCAAAUUUUAUUCAUGUACAAUUGUUGCUAUCACCACGUCCUCCUCCUCCUCCUCACUGCACACUACUUGACUACCACCCUUCGCCAACCUUGCUGUUGCAUGUGCAACUAUCAUGGCCUCUCUUAGCGCCUUUGCUUCUUCGACCUUUGGACUGGCACAGCUAAAAUUUGGAACAGCCCAGGCCCACCCGCAAUCUUCCCAACCAAUCCCUGGCCACCCUUUUCCCACCCAGCUUCUAUGGCAUGUGUGAUUCAAUCCUUCUUGAUAGGAUUGGUAAUAGAGGCAGAGGGGGGAGCCGGCUGCAUCCGGUCUACUUUUCAUAGAUAGUACAAUAUUGCGAAAUCGAUCGCAUUCACACAAGAAUAUUUCGAAGUCAUUGCAUCGCUAAGUUGCAAAAAAGUACAAACACUUGUUAUUAUAUAGCUUAAGAUUCAAAACUUUAGAGCACAACCCUCCACCUAACACAAUUGAAUAAUGAAUAUUCACGAUUGUCAAAUCUGUCAAAGCACAGUUUGAGGACAACCCAUUCCAACCUGCAAAAGAUUUUUGACUUUUUUAAAGUUGUUGAGAGCUGUAAAAAGACUUACCAUGCUUACAUCUUCCGAGCCUUGGGAGUUAAAAAUGAAGGCACUGAGUGCUAUAAAAAGGGGGCUAGAGGCUGCCUAGAAGCAUAUCAGCCUAAAACAAGAAUUUGUAGUUAUGAUGGGAAGCAAAGCAAAAGCAAUGGGGUCUGGGCUGACUCCUCUUCUUACCACUGUUUUAGUGGUAUUUGUUGCUCUUGGCUUGCCCUCAGAAACUGCAGCUGAUGAUCACUACAAGUAUUCAUCUCCUCCUCCUCCUUACCACUAUCCCUCACCACCACCUCCAGUGCAUUUACCUCCACCAGUGUACAAAUACAAGUCCCCACCACCACCUCAUCAUGUUUACAAGUACAAAUCUCCACCACCCCCACCACCACACCCAGUUUACAAGUAUAAGUCGCCACCACCACCUCCUCAUCCGGUAUACAAGUACAAGUCUCCUCCGCCACCUCCUCAUCCGGUACCACACCCAGUUUACAAGUAUAAGUCACCACCACCACCUCCUCAUCCGGUACCACACCCAGUUUACAAGUAUAAGUCUCCUCCGCCACCAGUUUACAAAUAUAAGUCUCCUCCACCACCACCUCCAGUGUACAAAUACAAGUCUCCACCACCACCAGUUUACCACUACAAGUCUCCACCACCUCCUCCCCCAGUUUACAAAUACAAGUCUCCACCACCACCAGUUUACCACUACAAGUCUCCACCACCUCCUCCCCCAGUUUACAAAUACAAGUCUCCACCACCACCACCACCAGUUUACCACUACAAGUCACCACCACCUCCUCCCCCAGUUUACAAAUACAAGUCUCCACCACCUCCUCACCACUACUAAGCAAUUGCUUCUGAGGUAAUAACACUUGUUCAAUAUACACACUUCUGCAUGAUAAAACAUAUCUCUAUCAACACAAACUGUCAUGUCUAUCAUGCUAAGUGCCUUCACUUCAUCCACGAAAAUGACUGCUAGAAAAUUUUUUUUUAAGUUACCAAAGAAAAGCAUCAUUUUUUCCCUCUGUUAUCAAGAACUUGUACAGUAUGUAGAUUAAAGAGUUUUUAUUUUAACUAGCUUAUCAACUUAGAAAUGCAUAUAACUGAUAGCCAGCUGAAUAUUUGCAGGCAAAGGAGAAGGAAACCAGUGUUUGGACCUUCUUGAAGAUGUAGAAGCAUAAGAAUAAAAGCCCAAUGUGAAGAUGAUGAUUUCAAGUUUUUCUACGUUACCAUUUCUAUAUCUAAAUUCGUUGUAGCGCCUUAGUUCCUUUGUUUAUGGGAUUUGUAUCGUUUUACGUACCAUGCAGUACAUGUCAUGUUUGUAAGGUUUUCUAUCCUGCCGGCAAAUCGCAGGUUCCAUGUAAUAAAUCAAUACUAUUUAUAUUACGACACUUUUCUCUGUUUCUCUUAUAUUUGUUUGGAUUGAGCUUUAUUUCCCCAAAUUUAUUUGCUUACAUCAUCAUUACAAUUUCUAAUACACCUUUUUACCUUCCCGAUUACCUUUUUAUCUCACAUACAUCACAUCACAAAAAGUGCUACAGUAAAAAUAUCUCUAAUAAUUCACAAUCCAAACAGACUUUUGUCUUUAAUAUUCUUAAUCAUAUUUUUAACAAAAAUAUUCAAAUACUUAGGUAAUCUGGUCUAAUGCUAAUUGUAUGUUUUACUUUUCUUUUUCACCUGCUCCCCUUUUCAACUCAAACGGAUGCAAUAGUUUGUGAUCCCUGUUUAAGACGGAAGCAUGAUACUAAUGAAUAUAUCAUUGAAACUCAAGGAAACUAACAUUAUGAAAAGUGUAAAUCUUGAUUUGAUGCAACUAUUUAUUCGUGGAAUAUAUAGUUACAAAACUCAAAUUCUGACUGCGCCAUUGAUAAAUUAUUAAUGACGCUAUCAUCAUUAUUUAUCCCUAACUAGUUUCGACUACAACUGAACCCAAUAUUUUCCCCAUGAUAAAAGUUUUUGACUAUUUUACUGGCCUCUCUUCAAAUUUUAAAAAUUACACUAAUCUUCAUUGAGAUUAAUUAUCUUGUAACAUUUAGUUCCGAUCAAGAAUUUAAAAAUGAUAUUAUGAGAGAAAAAAUAAUAUAAUUUUAUCAUUGCCCCCCAUCUUGCUAUAUUAUUUAAUAAAUUUAAUAGCAACCCACACAUUAAAGAAAAAUACUAAAAUUUGCUACUUUUCAUUAAAGAUCAAAUUGCAUAUGCCAUAAAACAUAGUAUAUCAUUCUAUGUGUUUCACCUAAUGUAAGAUCCCAAUUGUUAUUUUCAAUUACAAACCCAUUGUCAAACAUGAUCAACAACAAAUAACCAAAAAAUUUGCAACCAAAAUAUUACAAAAAAAAAUAAACUUUAACAUCAUAAAUAUUCUUACCACCUCCAGUGCAUUCACCCUCACCAACCACUAGUUUACAAGUCACCCCCACCACCUUACCACUAUUCCUCACCGCCACCCACAGUGCAUUCACCUCCACCACCACCUGUUUAUAAGUCACCUCCACCACCUUAUCAUUAUUCGUCACCACCAUCUGCAUUGCUUUCACCUCCAUCAUCACCAGUUUACAAAUCACCACCACCAUCUUCCCCAGUGUACAAGUCCCCUCCACCACCAAUUUACAAGUCUCCGCCGCUAUGUCCCCCAGUAUAUAAGUCAUCCCCACCACCGCCUCCAAUGUACAAGUCUCCGCCGACACCAAUCUACAAGUACAAUUCACCACCACCCAUGCCUCCAGUUUACAACUCCUUGCCACCACCUAUUUACAAACACAAGUCUCCCCCACCACUUCCUCCGGUAUACAAGUCAUCUCCACUGCAUCCUCCAAUUUAUGAGUCUCCUCGUCCACCAGUUUACGAGCACAAGUCUCCUCCACCGCCUCCUCCAGUAUAUAAGUCACCACCACUAUCUCCUCCAGUACAUGUCUCCACCACCGCCUAUUUACAAAUCUCCGCCUCCUCCAGUUUACAAUUCCCCACCACCACCAAUAUACAAGUCUCCACCUUCAUCCAACCAUUACUACUAUAAUACUCCUCCUCCUCCUUCGCACUACUGAGGAAUUGCAUCCAAGUUUUGAGGUAAUAACGCGUAACCAGUAUAAACUUUUGUAUGAUAAACCUUAUCCCGAUCAACACAAACUGCCAUGUGUAUCAUGCUAAGUACGUACGCUUAGAUCCAUGAAAAUGACUAGUAGAAGGUUAUCCUAAGAACCAAGGAACAUUAGUUUUCCCUCUGUUUCCAAAAACUUGUGUUUGUUUAACAUGCUUAUCAACUUGGAAAUGCGCAUUGCUAAUAGCCAACUGAAAUUUUUGCAGGCAAAUUGGGAAGAGAAUCAGUGUUUGAGCGGUUCAUGGAAGAAUAAGAAUAAAAGCCCAAUGCGAGGAUGUUCUCAAGUUUAUUAAUGUUUCCGUUCUAUUUUGUAAAUUGAUUUUUGCGACUUAAUUAAUUCCCUGUUUGUGGGGUUCGUGUUGUUUUACCUACAUGCCAUACAUGUUUGUAAUGAUUUUUAUUGCAAAAUGCCGGUCCAAUAAAAUAACUGUAUUCAUUUUGUGUCUUUUGAGUAAACUUCUAUUGGUUCUACUACUUAUUUUACGAUAUUUUUUUUCUCUCUUUCUCUUACAUUUUCCGUUUAAUAUUAUUGAUAAUUUUUUUAACAAAAAAGGUUGAUAUACUUAGGUAGUUCACUAGUUUGGUCUAAUCCUAACUUCAGGCUUGUCUUGUCUUUUAUCUCUACAUACCUUUUCAACUCAAAGGAUGCUACUAUAAUUUGUGAUCAUUGUAGUGGUGAUAUUCCGAGCUAUUACAUAUAAUUUAAGGCAGAGAUUUGAUCCUAGCGAGUAUCUCACUGACAGAUUAGGAAACAUCAUGAAAAGCGUAUAUCUUGAAUUAGUGCAACUAUUUCUUAGGGGAAUUUAUAGUUACAAAAUUCCAAAUUUUGAGAUUCUAUUACUGAUUAAUUAAGGACGUUAUCACUAUUUUUUUUUAAUUAUCACCAUUAAAUACCCCACAUACUAUAAGUUUUUUUAGGGCACAGGAAAAGAGGUGGGCCGAUGUUUAGUUAUCUACAAAAGUUCAAAUUUUGUAGAUAAAUUAUCAUGCGCCCUUAAAGAGUGCAGAAUACCAAAAAAAAAAAAAAAAAAAAAUCAUAUACUAUAACUAAUCCUAAUAUUUUUCCCUACGAUAAACUAACUCUUAUCCAUUUCUUUAGAUGAUGAAAGGAAAUAGUUAGUCACAUAUCCUCUAGUGAUUACAACAGCAUCAAAACAAAUUAGCACUCUUUUCCCGUAGUUUAAAAAUCCCUCAGCCACUAAGAUUUUGCAUAUCGAACGAAUUAAGGAACAUAGGCGCUUCGUGCUGGACAACAGUGUCCUUGUUGACGAUGCAUCCGCAUAUACUUCCUUAAGCAUUUUGAUUAUUUUAUGAUUCGAAUUUUUCUUGUCUGACAGCUGGACUUAAUUGAAAAACUCAAGUAAUAAUAUUCCAAAGCUGAUUCGUCAAAGUUUACCCAAUUGGUGAAACUUUCUUAAUAGAGCUGACUUUGUAUUACGUGACAAUGAUAUGGAUGCUCAAAGUUUUCAAUGGGAAAUUUAUAUGAGCUUUUCACGACAAAAUGUGUUCCGAUAAAGGUUCAUUCCAGAGGUUAAAAUUUUGUUUGUUAAAAAUUUACUUCUCAAGUCUUUGAUGCGAAAGUCUUGGUAUUUCCAAAAAGUCUUGAAAUCGCAGCAUAUAAGCCACUUUCUGUUCUCUUUUUUUCAUUGAAGUCUUUCCAAAUGUCAGUUCCAAAAGGAGUUUUUUAUGAAUUAUGAUAGAUAAUUAAUCUGACGGUCCAUAUAUAUGUGAUUUGCAAGAGGGUGUUUGGCGAAAUGGUUAGGCUUUCUAAGUAAUGAUAGGAAUGCCAUUUGCAAAGAAGGACAGGGGGCCUGUGCUGUCAUAUUUUAUGCGAUUUGAUCCGUUGUUGUAUAAGUUUAAAUUUUUGACGUGCAAUUGUGCUACAAUAUUAUACUAAAUAUAUGUGUGAAAUAUUUUGUCUAUAUACAUCACUUUUAUCGUGAAUACAACAGCUGAGUAUAAUAAUAUAAUAUAAUGUAAUUAUACACCAAAUAAUGUAACAAAUAUAACAAUCGAUCUGAAUUACACGAAAUCAUAACAACAAGAUCACCGCCUCCCAAAUUUUACAAAAUAAGGUUUUUUUUUUCUUUUAGAUUAUUGAAAAUUUUCAAAAAUAUUCUACAUAAUUUAAAUUUUUGUCCUACAAAAAUUAAAAGAGAUUUUAUAUUGCACGCUUAAGCUUAGAUAUAUUAAAGUUUGCCCCCAAGAUUAAUUUUCCGUUUUUAUCUAUGGUUUCUCAUCUAUGAGCCGAUCCAUAUAGCUAGUUAGACUGUACUCCUCACAUUUGUGGGAUUUGACACCCAAGAUUCUCCUUCUUGGAAUGUAAAAUGUAGAUCUUCUAUGUUAAUAAUUCAGGACCCAACUGUCAUAAACGAAAUGACUGAUCAACUCCUGUAAAUCUAAUUUAACAACAUUUAAAUGGAGAACUUUAGCUAAAAGAAUUAUGGUUAUUUUCCAACAUAUGCAAUCAUUGAUCAGAAUAUAUAUAUAUAUAUGUAAAAGACAUCUUCAGUCAUUUCAUAGCUUACCAGGCAAAUUAACCCCUAAGUGAACCUCUUCGAACAGAACUGACAAUAUGGAUGAAGAUCUGGAUAUUCUUUUAUCCUGACUCCUAAGGGAAAACUGGUUGAUCUAGAAUCAAAAUUUUACCCUAGUUACCCAGGCAACUUUUUUGUUGCCUUUUUUUUUUUUGGUAUAAAGCUCCAAUUUUGCUCCCUCUGUUAAGCUUAUAAUGCAUAUAAUUAUUAAGAUAAUAAAAGUGCCUUGAAUAGUAUUAAUAUAUGCAUUGACUUGAGCUGUCAUCAGUUCGGCCACUUCGAUUCCAUGAGGCCUUUUCAAUUCACACUAGCUAGAAAAUGGGGAGUCGUGAAAACCUUUUGUUCUAUUCAUUGCUAAGAUGCUUUUCUCUAUAAAGAGACUUCCUAACGAAAAUACUUUGUAGAUUUCUUUACUCCAAGUGGUGCAUGAAAAAUUAAUAUUUUCAAUUAACAAAUAAAAUUCCCUUUUUUUGGUGUAGAUUUCAUCCAUCCAGCUGUUAACACAUUCUAUAAAUCCGAAUUGACUAAUCUUUUCAUUUCCAUUUUCCAACUUGCGAAUACGGCAUCUUAUAUAAUGUCUGCUAAACACUAUAUAUUCUCUGCCAAAUAUGAAUACAUAUCACUUUUCUGAGCAAGUGCAGAGUCAUUAUCAUUUUUAUUCCCACAUAACAAAUUAGUGGUUGAGCAUCUUUACAUGCUAUCAGGUCACAAGUUAAUAAUCUUUUAAAGAACAUGUUAAAUUAAUUUAUUGGUAUGAAUAGUCAAAGAAGUAUGUUAAAGUUAGCAAUCUUUAAAAUAAUAUGUUAAAAUCAUUAGUACAAAUUAGUCAGAGAAGUAGCAUAAACACCACGAUGCAAUUAAUACUUUCAAUCUCAAGGUCUCUCUUACGGAAAUUUGCAUCGGUCAACAUACACAAAGCAUAAUUGUAUGCACGUCUCUCUAUCAUGGAAUUUGCAUAGGUCAAUAUACACUUGGCAUAGUUGAUAGUUGUAUGCGCGUAGGCAUGGCCAUGGUUCCAUUUGGAACUGGGAAUCAGACCGAAACCGGAUCGUUUGGAACCAGAUCAGAACCGGAAUCAAAACCAUGAAACCAGAACCGUGAUAGAACCUUGGAUAAAGGUUCCGGUUCUGGUUCUCUAAAAAAUAGAACCAGAACCAGAACCGUUAAAAAUAAUUAAUAUAAGUGGUGAGAUAAUUCAAAAAAAAUUAGUUGUGUUUAAUAGGUUUUAAGAAAGUUUAAAUUUUAUGGACUUUCUAUAUAUUUUAUUAAUUAUUUAAUUCUUUCUAUUCAUCUAAUAUUUAUCAUUAUAAUUUGCAAGUAUUAAAUUAUUACUUAAAAUUUUUUUUUUUUUUUGCUUAUUUGCUAUCAAAUGACAAGUUUUGAUGGUAGUAGCUCAUCUUCAAAAUCAAGCAAGCAAAAAAAUAUUUUUUGCAAUAUUUCUUCAAAUGGAAUCUUCAACAUUGAUGAUUGUCCAACUCAAGAAAGUCAACAUAUGACAACCAUUUGAUAGUGUAAUGUAUUUUUUAAUUUGACAAUGUAAUGUACUUUUCAUAAAAUUUAUAUUAUCUAUUUAUUACUUCUUACUUUGUAGAAUAAUAAUAAAAUUAAAAUAUGAUCUUUAUUUUGUAUUUAUUUUUUUACGUUUUAUUUGAAAUUUUAAAUAUAUUGUUAUAUUCGUAUUAAAAUUGGUAAGGAUAAGGAAUUAAAUAAAAUUGUAUAUAACCAUACAGAACCGGAAACCGGAACCAGAACUAUAAGGAACCAAAAUCAGAACUAUGCGGUUCUGGUUCUACCUCUUUGAAGAACCAGAACCAGAACCAUUUUAUAUGGUGCGGUUCUGGUUCUACCUUUUUUAAGAACCAGAACCGGCGGUUCUAGAACCGUGGUCAUGCCUAUAUGCACGUCUUUUAUUUUAUUUUAUUUUAUUUUUUGGUACUGUUCUUCCUUGCUUUAUAGUAUGCACGUUUAUUUCUUUGGAUUGCUUAAGAUUAUAUUGUUAAUAAUAGGGCAUUUAACCAUAAAUUAUAAUAAUUAUGAAGUAAUAUAUAUUAGAAAAUUAACACAAUUAUGAUUUUUUUUUUUUGUAAAUUCAAAUUUUAUUAAUAAGAAAUGAAAUAGACCGUAAGCAAAAACAAAAUCCUACAACAACUCUAGGACUCUACACCUUAUAUAAAAAAAAACUAGGACUCUAUACCUCAGAGAAGCUAAACAAUCCAACAAAUAAAAUGCAAAAUAAAUCACAAUAACGCAAAUUAUGUUAAGCUAAUAAAUACUACCAUGCAACAAAAUUUUUGUCUUUGUCCCGCGUGAAACUACGAAGUCAAGAAUUGACUCCUUUAACCAGUAUUGCCAGCGGGGCUCCGUCAGCAAGAUACAACUUUGCAAUUUUAUACAAUAGAAAUCCUCAAAUAGCUAUUUUGACAGGCAAAUUAAGCAUUAAUUUUGGUAUCCCUUCAUAAAAUACAAGAGUACUUUUGAUUAUAUCUAUAGAUCAACUUUCUAGGCUUGAUGUAUUAUAAGAAAAAUCUGCCUAAACAUUUUGAUAGCAUUUUUCCAAAAGCAGAAGAUGGAAAAUUGCCCAUUUGUAAUGGGGAGUUCGUGAUCUUUUCCUCAUUCUAGUCUACUUACAAUUCUUGGAAAAAGGAAUACUCACAUCUCAAACAACAGCCAGCUCAUCUGCGCUGUCCUGCAGAAUUCUAGAAAGUUAGGUGGCAAUGUUAAUAACAUUUCAAAAUUGACUGCUGCGAUAACUAAUUCGAUGGCUUACUACAUGGUCAACGUUUGGAUCCCUUCCUGCCGGCACUGUCCUUUUUGGAUGCACAUUUUUUUUCUCUAGGUAAUAUAAUCACCCAACUCAUUUCUUUACAAAUGCACCUUUAAUCACCACCAAAAGGUGUGGACAUGAUCUUUACCCUAGAAAACUAUUCACCGACAGGCAAAUUGACGUCAGAAAUACUAAGAGGAAUUCUAGUUUCCUUCGGGUUAAUGCCAUUUUGUACCCUUCAACUGUAACUCGAUUUCUAAGCUGUAAUUUGUGACAUUAUAGUCCUUAAACUAUGAAACCCUUCUUACUUAAGUAUAAUGGUUAAUACAAUACUGGUGAUUAGACAAGUAUGAAGCAACCAUAACAAAAAAAAAUCCAAAAUUAGAGAAAAGAAAGAUGUUUCGCGACCAAAGUAUGUAUCAAGGCAUAGUAUAGAAAUAAAAGUGUCAAAAUUAAGAGUUUAGGGAUAAAAAAGAAUCAAGAUAUAGUUUAGGGAUUGAUUUGUCUCAAUUAGAGCUUAGGUGUCAACUAAGAAGAGAGAUAUAGUUGAAGGGUAGAAUAUAGAUAUAAAGGUUCAAUGAUUGAUAUCAGUGAGACAAUGAUAACUUUGGAUUAUUACCAACCUCUUCUGGAUGGGAAAAGGAAAUAGAGAAGAAAGUCGGGCCUGGUCUAAGCCUGUUUCGGAGGCAAAACAACAUUAUGAAAUCACCGGCAUUCAGACAAAUAUGUCAAAGUCACCGGCAUGCUAAGUUGCAAAAUUUAUACAAACACUUAAUAUUAUAUUGUUCUUAAAAUUUUUGUUUAAGAUUUAACAAUUAGAGCACGGUACACGAAUUAGAAAUAUUAAAUAAUGAAUGUUCACGAUUGAUAAAGUUAUCAAAGUACAGUUUGAGGACAACCCAUUCCAACGUGUACAAGAUGUUUAGCCUUUGAAAAGUUAAUUAGAGAAGGUGACGAGAUUUUACGAGGCUGACAUCAUCUAGGCCUCGAGAGUAAAAAAUGAAGACACUGAGCGCUAUAAAAAGAGGGCUAGAUGUUGCCUAGAAGCAUAUCAGCCUCAGACCACGUUUUGUAGCAAUGGGGAGCAAAGCAAAAGCAAUGGGGUCUAGGCUGACUCCUCUUCUUACCACCGUUUUAGUGGUAUUUCUUGCUCUUGGCUUGCCUUCAGAAACUGCAGCUGAUUACUACAAGUAUUCAUCUCCUCCUCCUCCUUACCAUUAUUCCUCACCACCACCUCCUAUGCAUUCACCCCCACCACCGCCAGUUUAUAAGUCACCCCCACCACCUUACCACUACUCCUCACCGCCACCUCCAGUGUAUUCAUUUCCACCACCUUUGCCAAUAUACAAGUCUCCGCCACCACCUUACCAUUAUUCCUCACCACCACCCCCAGUGCAUUCACCCCCACCACCACCAGUUUACAAGUCUCCCCCACCACCUUACCAGUAUUCCUCACCACCACCUCCGGUGCAUUCACCACCACCUCCUCCAGUUUACAAGUCCCCGCCACCACCUUACCAUUAUUCCUCACCACCACUUCCAGUGCAUUCACCUCCACCAUCACCGAUUUACAAGUCUCCACCACCACCUUACCAAUAUUCCUCACCACCACCUCCACUGCAUUCACCUCCACCACCACCGAUUUACAAGUCACCUCUACCGCCUCUUCCAGUUUACAAGUCUCCGCCACCACCUUACCACUAUUCCUCACCACCACCUCCGGUGCAUUCACCUCCACCACCACCGGUUUACAAGUCACCUCCACCACCUCCUCCAGUUUACAAGUCCCCGCCACCACCUUACCAUUAUUCCUCACCACCACCUCCGGUGCAUUCACCUCCACCACCACCGGUUUACAAGUCACCUCCACCACCACCUCCAGUUUACAAGUCCCCGCCACCACCUUACCAUUAUUCCUCACCACCAACUCCAGUGCAUUCACCCCCAUCACCACCAGUUUACAAGUCUCCGCCACCACCUUACCAUUAUUCCUCACCACCAUCUCCGGUAAAUUCACCUCCACCACCACCGGUUUACAAGUCACCUCCACCACCUCUUCCAAUUUACAAGUCCCCGCCACCACCUUACCACUAUUCCUCACCACCACCUCCAGUGCAUUCACCCCUACCACCACCUGAUAGGGUAUAAUUUGUUAGUAUUUUUAUUAUUAAUUUUCCCUUCUAUCCCUGACAAAUAUUGUGUUAAUUGCUGAUAUUUACUCAUAUUUGGUAUUUGGAAUCAAUUUCAGGAAUGAAGCAGAAAACUACCAAAAAGGAGGGACUUUGUGAAAAAUAUGGAGACUUCUAAGGGCUUCAAUCCUUGGGCCCUUGAAUUGGUGGGGGACCACAAGCUAGUGAAAGGCAUUUGGUCAUUUGGGCUUCAAAGAAAGCAACGUAGAGAGACUUGGAACAAGAAGUACUUGGGAGGCUUUGUCCACAUGUGUGGGGACCACCUAGAUAGCUUUUAGUCAUCUUUCUUUUGUUGCUUUAAAAGGGGACAACGUACAGAAGCAAAAGAUAUCUAGGGCUUUAGUUUUAGUUUUUAGUUUAGUUCUAGUUUUCUUUCUUUGGACUGGCCUCUGACACACGCCAGGUAUUCGACAAUAUUCCCCAACGGGGAGAUUUUCUCAUGAGGCGUGGUUAAGCUUUUCAAGGGGACACUGACGAUUUGGUUCAAUUUACUGUGAGAUCGAAUCUGUUUUAUUUUUUUCUUCAUUUUGGUUUUUAUAUGUUCCUUGAUUUUAAUUGCUAUGGCCUUGUGUAUGAUUGAUUAGUGCACAAUAAUUAAUUAUUCAUAUAGGCUAUUUUUGCUAAAUAGGGGUAAUUGAAUCCGUAAUUGUUCGUUAUCUCUACCUCAGUAGCAACUGGCGUAAUUGGGUUUAUGUCAGGGGAGCAUAUGAUCUAAUUUAAACAAACCCUCGUAGCGUAUUUGUUGGUUAGGAUUGGGCCUUUCUAAUUAUUAUGCAAUCUAGAAAUUAAAUCCUACGGUCGUACCUAGGGUUAUUUUUGGGUUAGAGAAAUAGCUAACGGUCGUACCUUAGCUAUCGAGAAAUUAAGGAAGGGUUGGUUGUUUAUCGCGUGCAUGACAACUAUAACUAAUCUAUUGCUAAAUGUUGGAAUUAUUUCUGCAUCAAUGAUCAGUGCCUGAACCAUUUCUGAAGUGUACCCUUGGCUAGAGUUUCUCUUAAUUAUUUCUUUUAAUCAAUUAUUUUCUGCACUUGAUUUAUUUAGUUAGCAUUUAAUCCAAGAACCUCCCAUACUCUGGACUCUAGAAGAAACGAAUUAUCCCCAAUCCCUGUGGAUUCGACCCUGCUCGCCGCUAUAUACAAAAUCUGUAUUUUUCUUGAGUAGGUAAUUAUUAUUGCACAGGUUCGGCACCUGUCACCACCAGUUUACAAGUCUCCGCCACCACCUUACCAUUAUUCCCCACUACCACCUCAAACGCAUUCACUCCCACCACCAGUUUACAAGUCACCGCCACCACGUUCUCCAGUAUACAAAUCACCUCCACCACCUCCUCUAGUUUACAAAUCUCCACCACCAUCAAUUGAUAAAUACAAGUCUCCUCCAGUGUACAAGUCAUCUCCACCACCUGCUUACAAGUCUCCACCUCCUUCAGUUUACAGUUCCCCACCACCACCAAUCUACAAGUCUCCACCUCCACCCUACCAUUACUACUACAAUUCUCCUUCUCCUCCUCCUCCUUCUCACUACUAAGCAGUUGUAUCCAAGUUUUUGAGGUAAUAACGCUUAACCAAUAAAUUAACUUUCGCAUGAUAAACCUUAUCCCUAUCAAGACAAACUGCCAUGUGUAUCAUGGCAAAUCCGUACACUUAGAUCCAUGAAAAUGAGUGGUAGAAGGUUUUCUUAAGAACCAAGGAACAGCAAUAGUAUUCCCACUGCUUCCAAAAACUUGUGUAUUAAAUAGAUUAACGAAUUGUUUAACAUGCUUAUCUACUUGAAAAUGCACAAUACCCAUAACCCAUUGAAAUUUUUGCAGGAAAAGGGGAAGAGAAUCUGUGUUUGAGAGCUUCAUGAAGAUGUUGAAGAAUAAGAAUAAAAGCCCAAUGCGAGGAUGUUUUCAAGUUUUUCUAUGUUUCCACUUUAAUUUGUAAAUUGAAUUUUGCGACUCAAUUAAUUCCCUGUUUGUGGGGUACAUAUUGUUUUACGUACCAUGCCGUACAUGUUUGUAAGGAUUUCUAUCCUAUUGGCAAAAGUCGGUUCCAUACAAUUAAUCAAUUCAUUUCACUUCUAUUGGCUCUACUAUUUAUGCAUGUUACGACAUUUUUUCUCUCUUUCCCUUAUAUUUUGCCUUUAAUAUUAUUGAGUCAAUAGUAAAAUUAUACUAUUAUAAAUAGGUAGUUUGGUCUAACGCUAAAUUCAUGUUUGUCUUUCUUUUAUUCCCUUUACAUCUCAAAGUAUACCAUAGUUUGUGAUCAUUGUGGUGAUGAUACACUACAACAAAAAUGGCCUUUCCUGACAUGUCUAUAAGGACACUUGCUGGUUUUUGUCAUUAUAGCACUUCUAUCAUGACAUUUGUUAUCAAUUCACUAAUUUAUACUUUUUUUUAUUUUAUCUGAUAUAAAAAUAAUAAUGUGUCUUUAGAUUUCCUAUCAUGGCAUUUUAGAAAAUGUGAGAUACAACGAAAAAAUUAAAACAUAAAACGAUGUCGUUUGAUUUUGACGGAAGAUUCAUUUGCCAAAACACUUAGUGAAAUCUCAAAACUUUCAUUGUGUCGAUUCUUCUCCUCUCUCUCACAAACCCUCUCUCUCGGCAGACUAUCUCUCAAAACUCCCCCAUUUUGGUUCUUUUGUCUUCCGCCUUCGCCGCCGCCCCACUCCUCCAUUUUCGGUUGCUAACUUGGCCGCUUCUCUGCCCUAUUCGGUCAACCACGACACCUACACCAAUAAGUCUUCGCUCUCUUUGCUAGGACAAAAGGAAUAAAAAAACAGAUACUCAUGUUCUUUCCUUUUUCUUCUUUCCUCUGAAACCGAUCCCCAUGCUUCUCCGUACUGACUAGAUAUUCAGGUUGAGCGUGUUGAGGAGUAGAGUAGGCGAAGGUUGCCGCCAUCGUCUCAUUGAAGUCCAGCCACUACAGCGGAAAUCAUCACUGUAAAGUUUCCCGUACUCUUAUACCUUUUUUCCCCCUUAAUUGUAUUGUUUUCUUCUUUGUCUGCAAUCAUGUCGGUUAUGCUUUACUUUCGUCUUGUUAAUCGAUUUUAAGUGGCUGGAAUUGAUCAUAGGUUUGAGUAGAGUUUUAGAUUUAAAAUUCAAGCUCAGGCCGUAUAAGGAACUGAUGAAAAAGAAAUUUCAAAACUUUUCAUCCUCACUACUUGUUUGUCGGAAGGUUCGAAUGAAGAAAGAAGGAAAUUUGCAAUGGAAGUGAACAGAGAGAGAUGAAAGUGAUUGGAGAGUGAAAUUUUGCCUUGGUGAACUUUUCUUUUGUUUUUGAUCAUCAAGUGCAAUAGAAAAGUACAUUUAGUACAAUUUCCUAACUAUCUUAGAGGAAAUCUUGUUUGGAACUUUCGCUGGAUGCUAUGCAACUUAUUUUUGAUGCUUUGGUCAUGAUUGUUGUUCUGUUUGCUACAGCCCCAUAAGAAGGUUUUUUUUUAAUUAUUAUUAAAAAUUACCGCAUAGCUUGGAUACUUUUGCAUUCCAUGCACCAUGUCAGCUAUUCAUAGCACAUAGCACUAAAGUAGAGCACUCUGUAAUUUUGGAGAUGUUUCAUCUACGCAUUCAAUUAUUUCGAGUUUUUAGUCCAAUGGGUAAUAAAUUGGUUGUACAUCACUUAUUAUGUUGCAUCCCAGUUAUAUUGACCUAGAACAAUUACCAUAUAGACAAAAAGAAGAUAUUAACUGCAGCAAAUUGAAGAAUAAAAAGAGUAUUUGUCAAAUCUUUUCUCCCAACAUCCCUCGUAAUUCUUUCCCCCAACCUCAACUUAGGCACACAUUGUGUCUCUCCUUUUCUUCUUCAAACUAAAUGUUCUUCUCAUGGACAAAUAAGAAUAAUUUGAAUUUAUGAGGAUACAGAGGAAGAGAAUGAAGAUGGAGAAGUUAAUUGUUAUAACUCCAGUUAUGAUAAAGUUGAAGAUGACUUUACAUAAGAUGGAUUAAGUGACUAGUGCUCUAUUGUAAGAUGCUGGGUGCAUAUCUUAAUUUCUUUGAAUUGACUUUAUAUCUCAAAAAAAAAAAAAAUUGAAGGGAUUCUAUAUUUAUUUGACUUGUGUGGUAUUUAUUUGUGUGACUGUCUUGUUUUUUGUCUGCUUUUAUGAUCUAGAGCAUUGAUUACUCUAUAUUUUUAGACAAGAAUAUAUUGUUUUUGUUGUAGAAUUUCUGUAGAAAAAAUACAGAUCUUGCACAUUAAACCCAAUGGGGACUGUUUGCACUAUAAUGCAUUAUGGGCAACUAACAAAUUGGGAUUUGCUAGCCAUUCAAUAUUUUGUAAAUCCUCUGCAGUGUAACAUACUGGAAAUUGCCUUUCAGUUACAGUCUCCAGCGAAGUGUCCUGAUUUAGUCUUUCAAGUUGGAAUGUGACUAAUAGUUUCUUAUCUUUUAAAAGUUUGCCAAUUUCAGGAGGAUUGGUUACAUAGUUUUUUAAGAUUUCUUUCCUCCAGUGGGCACUUAAAAAAAUAGUGAUUAUUGAGUGCUUUGAUCUGUUGAAAUUUAAUUGAAAAUUUUCCGAUCAUUAAUUGACACACUUCAAAAUACUAAUGACUACAUAUGUCAAAGCACAACCUAGGAAAUUAUAUCAGCACGUGCUCCGAUUGUAUGGUACUAAACUUGCAGUGCUUCCACAAAGAAUGUGAAGAGCACAUAUAUACUGAUCAUUGAAAAGAUAGAUUUCUAUUAUGAUUCUGCUAAUGUUUGAAGCACUAAAUGUGAAAUUGCUAUCUAUUUUGAAUGAGUAUCUGUUUCUAUGAAAACUUUGGACAAAUAUGCAUAUGACAAUAGUUUCUAAUGAAGUUACAAACGAUGCUGAACCUUUGGCAUUAUACCAAGAAGGUGUUAAUCAAGUUAACUGGUUACACUUCUAAGCCCUUGCCUGUGGGCAGAAUCUGAGCUAGCUUUAUUCAUUUGUAGCAAGAAGUAAUUUUGCAUGCCAAUGCCAUGCAUUGUUGACUAACCUGUCGCAUUCAGUGUUUGGACAGGUGGGAGUAUAUUGGCGGCACUUGGUUCCUUUCAGCAAAUUUGGUUUUCAAAAUCUGAGUAAGCUUUUACAUCUACUCUACCUUUCAAUAUUCAACUUUUCUUCUUUUUUUCUCCCCAUUUUCAGUCUGUUUUAUCUCUCGAUUAAUAGGUUUGAGGAACAUGGAACUUCUUAUGUUCAAAGAAAAUGCCCGUAAAGUACUUUACUGGUGCGGACAAUUAUCACAUUAGACAGAAAUUCAUGGAGCUGACUUCACUUUGAUUAGUUCGCUGACGGUAUGGGUUGCUCGGUUUUAAUAUCCUGCUUUAUAGGAGCCCAAGCAAUGUACUAUAUAUAUACUAUACCUCUCGCGGAUCGUUGCUAAUGUUGUACAAUUACGUUACCUGACUUUUAGCAUUUCUUUCAACUGGUUAGGGAUGAGAGUCUUUUUGUUUGUGCACAAGAAAGUCUUUCAAGUUAUUGUAAAUGAGAAUCUUUCGGUAAUUUUUUGGGAUUUUAGUACUUGCUUUGAGCAUUUGUUUGCGAUUUUAGUACUUGCUAUGUUUGUACUUGUUAUUGACUUUUAAUUCAAUGAAUUAUAUUUGAGUAUCGACUUCUUCUUUUAAAUUGCUAUAUGCAUUCUGCCUUUUGGGAUAAUUUUACAAGUCCCUUGGGAUUCUGGUUGAUGGAAUGUACAGCAGGGAGGACUAAUUACAGGUUGCUUCCAUAUGAAAAAAAAACAGGAAAAAACUCCUGGCAAUUAGAAGUGUCAGCAUAGCUUAGCUUCAAAAAACACUAAUGACAAAUGGGCAUGUCAUCCAAAGCAGUGUAAAUUCACAUGGCUACGUGUCCUUAAAGCCAUAUAUUAAGACAAUUCAAGAUGCCUUCAUAAAUUGGAUAUACUACUAAUCCGCUACUGAUGUUCUAAUGCUAUACGGACACUUUCGAUUAUCACAAAAAAAAGUUUUUGUUGGCAGAGGGAAUGCUAUAGCAGCAUGGUUUUCCUGACACAUUUGAAUGUUGCCAAAGAUUUGAGGCUAUCCCCACAUUGGAAGGGACAACACUCGCCCUAGGUGUGAGGAUAGAUAAAAUGUCAGGUUAGAUUAUCUAUACUGACACCUUUAAAUGCCGCUAAAGGCCAUUUUUGUUAUAGUGAUAUUACCGGCUGGUACAUAUAGUUUAAGGCAAAGACAUGAUAUUAACCUAUCUCAUUGAAACAUAAGGAAAAAUCAUGACAAGUGUGAGUCUUGGAUAAUGCACAAUUUGUAAGUGGAAUUUAUACUUAUAAAACUCAAAAAAAAAAUUUCACAAUGCUAUUACUAAUUAAUUAAGGACUUUAUUGCUAUAAUUUAUCGCUUACUAGUUUAAACUGUAAAUGAUCUCAAUAUUUUUCUCCGUGAUGUCGAUUUCUUUAGACUACGAAAGGGAAAAAUUAGUGACGUAUCCCCUACUUAGUUAUAAACUUUUCCAGUGGUUUUAAAUCCCUCGGGCUAAGGACGUACACUUGAUCCAUGAAAAUGACUAGUAGAAGAUUUUUUUUAAGAAUCAAAGAAAUGCAUUAUUUUUUCGGUCUGUUUUCAAGAAUUUGAGCAGUAUACAGAUUAAAGAGUGUUUUUUUUUAAACUUGCUUAUCAACAUAGAAAUGCACAUAGCUGAAAGCCAACUGAAUAUUUGCAGGCAAAGGAGAAGGCAAUCGGUGUUUGAGACCGUCAAGAAGAUGUAGAAGAAUAAGAAUAAAAGCCCAAUGCGAGGAUGAUUCCAAGUUUCUACGUUACUAUUUCUACAUCUAAAUUGACUUUAGCUCCUGAGUUCCAUGUUUAUGGGGUUUGUACCGUUUUACGUACCAUGCAGUACAUGCUUGUAAGGUUUUCUGUCCUGUUGGCAAGCCGCAAGUCCAUAUAAUAAAUGAAUACUAUUUAUAUUACGACACUUUUCUCUCUUUCUCUUAUAUUUUGUCUUUAAUAUUGUUGAUCAUUUUUUUUAUCAAAAGUAUCAAAUGCUUAGGUAAUUUGGUCUAAUGCUAAUUGUUUUACUUUUAUUUUUCACCUACAUCCCUUUUCAACUCAAAGGAUGCUACAGUUUGUGAUCAUUGUUUAAGACCGAAGCAUGGUACUAAUAAAUAUCUCAUUGAAAGUCAAGGAAACUAACAUUAUGAAAAGUGUAAAUCUUGAUUUGAUGAAACUAUUUAUUCGUGGAAUUUAGAGAUACAAAACUCAAAUUGUGACGGUGUUGCUGCUAAAUUAUUAAGGACAUUAUCACCAUUAUUUUUCCCUCACUAGUUUCAUCUGCAAUGAUCUCAAUCUUUUUGUAUUGAUCGGUUGUAAUGAAUCGCGAUUGAUUGGUUGUAAUCCGCUUGUAUUGAUCCCACUAUUGUGGAUACUUCUACGCUCAACAAAAAAUAUAUAUAUUAAAGAAUUAGCAAUAUUUUUUAGAACAAGUUAAAUUUAUUCAUACAAAUUAGACAAAGAAGUAUUUUAAAGACCAUGAUGAAAUUAAUACUUCCAAGGUCUCUAUUAGGAAGACUUCCUUGCCUUGAGUUGCAGUUGCGUGCAGAUGUUUAUAUUUCAAAUUGAUGGUAUAGUAAAAAUGUUGAAUUUCUUUAUCCCCGUGACUUCAAAAAUAUGAACUCAAGAAAUUAACUUCUUAACCAGUAUGUCAUACAAGCUUCACAAGAAAUGUAUAACUUUGCAACUAGAGUCAAUAGAAAUCGUCACAUAAUUAUUAAUUUUACAUCGAAAUUAAGCCUGUAUGACAUACUGGUUCGAGGUUUGGCCACGCUACCUUCCUAUUGUUUAAAAAUUCUCACAUAAUCCCUUGUACUUUGGACUAAACUCGAAUGUGAAAAGAAACCAUCCAAGCUAGUUUGGGAUACACUUGUUGCACUUUGAACUAAACUUGAACGUGAAAGGAAAUCCCAAAACCAUAUUGGGCAUGAAUUCACACUUAAUAGACCCAAAAAAAGAUGGCGACUGGUGAUGGAGGUGAAAGGCAGUGGGGACUGGUGGAGAGAUUUGAGGAAUAGAAGCAGACGAAAAAGCAACAAAUUUUUGCCAAAAAACGGUGACUUUCAUGGUUAAUAUUGCUACUCUCUAAUUGUACUUGACCAAUACAACAGUGAAAUUGUAAUUUAUGCUGAAGAUGGAGUUUGAUACGUGAAGAGAAUUUUUUAUAAAUUUUAUUUUGACCCAUAAUGUUAUCUUUAGAUACAAAAAAUAUUUUAAAAUUUUGAUUUUGGCCCGGUUAACUUUUGGUAAACAAAAAAUGCUCAUGCUUAGUGACAGGUUGUCGAUGCCUGUGCAAAAAUAAAAAUAAAUCUAGUUGCCAAUUAAAAUAAUCAGAGCCCAAUUCUGAGUACUGGAGCAGGGACUCUAGGUGUGCAAUGGGUUACUUGAUUCACUCUAUUUCCGAAGAGUUUGCUUAACCCGAUAUACCAGAAUGGGAUUGCUUAUUCAAAAGGAAUUGUUGAUUUGUAAACAGGGCAAGUAGGGUCGUAUUCUCAGGUGGGCUGGCGGUGCGCGGUCAAUCGACGGAGAAAGAGAGGAAAGGACGCGGGUGGAGGUUUUUGGGUUUUGGCCAAGAGAAGAGGGAACGCAGGGAAAGAGAGAGAGAGGGGCGGUGCUCGGGAAGGUGAGCGGCGGACGACGGCUAGGAGGGAAAAGGAGGAGCGGCGUGCGAAGUUAGAGAGGAGGAGGGAGGCGGCAUACGAAGGAAAAAGAAAUCAAGGAAGAAGAAAGAAAGAAAAGAGGAAGAAAGAAAAGAAGAAGGAAAAAAAAUAGUUUUUGGGUUUUUUUUCAAUUUUUUUUUAUUUUUUUGAAUUUAAAUGUCAAAUUUUGAAUUUUUGAAAAAAAAAACUGAAGGUUAAAAAGGAAAAUAAUUUUAUUUUGCUAAAAAAAAAUUUUUAUUUUUUUAUUUUUUUUUGUUUUGGAUCGUCAAACACAGCGUGGGCACGCCAAAAUUAUAAAACGUCCACUGAUCUUGGGAGUCACUGACACGGCGUGGGCACGCCAAGAUUUCACUUCCUGCCAACGUCGCGAGAUGUUGAAAUUGUACUAACAUGGCGUGGGCACGCCAAGAUUGGUAAACAUCCACUGGCCUUGGGAGUCACUUUUUGAGUGUCCUCCUCGCGUGGGCAUGCCAAGAUUCUAUGUCCUGGUCACAUUGGAGAAAAAUAUGAAAAUUGACUAGUACCCAAAUGAAAAACGACAAAUCGAAAGAAUUGAACAACAAAAAAUAAUAAAGCUAAUAUUUGGGUUGCCUCCCAAAAAGCGCCUUUUUUAACGUUUUUUGUUAGACGUUGAACACCACUCUUCAAUUUGGAUGUAAUUCAAUUUUCCUUGUAAUCGGUGGUCCUACUCCGGGUUCCAAAUAAUCAUUGAGUGCAGCCUUCUUUCUUUAUUUUCUAUUCAUUUUCACCUCAUAAAUUGCUUUCAUUCCCUGAUAUUUGUUCGCAAGAAUUUUGAAUUUACCCCUACAACCAAACUCAAAAAAUUCUUGCACAAAGGAAUUAGUAGCAUGAAUAGCAAACACAGAAUGAGAGUUAACAGUAUGUUUUAUUGUAUUAAAAAUAUUAAAAUGGACUAUUUCUCCAUCGAAUUCCAUUGUGAGAGUACCCUUACUAACAUCAAUCUUAGUUUGGAUAGUACUCAAGAAUGGCCUUCCUAAUCUAAUGGAUGAUGGAUUUGGGACACUUUCAUCAUCCAUAUAAAGCACAUAAAAAUCAGCAGAAAAAAUUAAUCCAUCUACUUGCACUAAAACAUUCUCAACUACCCUAUCUGAAUAAGUAAAUAUACGAUUAGCCAAUUAAAUUAUUAUCCCUAUUUCUUUUAAAGAUCCUAAAUUUAGGGAAUCAUAAAUUGAUUUAGGCAUCACAUUAAUAGAAACUCCUAAAUCUAGCAUGGCAUUUUUUAGAUUAGAAUGUCCAAUCUUACAUGGGAUAGUAAACAUACCUAGAUUCCCGUAUUUAGGUGGUAGUUUCCUUUGUAAAAUUGCUGAAAUGUUCUCAUCUACCACAAUAUGCUUGUCCUCCCUCAAUUUCUUCUUGUUGACACACAAGUUUUUCAAGCAUUUAGCGUAUUUUGGCACUUAUUUGAUCGCGUCCAACAAAGGAAUAUUGAUUGCCACCUUGCGAAAAAUGACGGAAUUUUUAUAUCAAUGCAAGUUUAAAUUCGAUUUUAUACCCGUUGACUGCAAGUAUACAGGCCGAAAUUGUAAUGUAGGGUAUGUAUCGGGUCGAUCCCACGAGGAGCAAAUUAAACAAGUACUAAGCCCUUAUUUUUCUCUAUUAUUUAGACUCACAAUAAAUUUGAACAGAGAAAGUAUAUUGCUAAAAUUUACAAAUUUGAUAUACAAAUAUAAUUUAACAAAUGCUAAAUGCAAAAGAAGAAAUUUCACUCAAGGAAGAAUUUAGGGAUGUAGAUUCCACUUAUGGCAUAAACAACACAAAUGAAUGGAUUUACCUCUUAUUAUUAUUCUUGUUUAACUAGGGAUUCAUUUCCAAAAUUAUCAAGUCUCAUUUUCAUGAUGAAAUGGCCUAGACCAAUAUAGUUUUCCCUAUUUUCAUGGUGAAAUACUACUACUACUCUGUUUUAUUUCAUGAAAUGCUGAAUAAUCCACCUAAGUGUAUCUCUAUUUUCAUGAACAUACAACUUAAGCUCUACUCAUUUAUUUCCAUUGUUACUACCAAUUCUCAUUGAAUAAUAACAACUAUAAACAUACUAUUGGUGAUCAAUCAAUAACAAGUAAUCACAACUACACAAGUAAACAAGUUAAUACAAAAUAUAACAAGUGUAAAUCACAUUCAAGUCAUAUUAUUUAGCCAUAAGUUUCAUCUACUUCCUAGAUAAAGAAAAUUAGCUACUCAUGAAUGAUUUAACAAUCAAACUCACAAGUUUAUUAAUGCAAAAUAUCAUAAAGUACAAGUACAAGAAAGAUAAAAGAAAUCUUAGCCAAUUGAUGGUGAAUCCCUCCAAUUUCUGCUAUGUUCUUGUACAAGAUGAUUACAACUGAAAACUCCAAAUGCUUCUCUAAGGACUCCUAGCUAGAGAGAAAAUGUUACAAGAAGGAAAAACUAGCUACGUAUGGUCCUGUCCUGCUUCUCCCCUGUGUUUUUGCAUAAAAGGUAGUAGAAAGUCUAUUUUCCUCUUCAUAAUUUCCUCCAUUCAGAUUUUGUAAAAAGAAGUCAAAGAUAUGAUGUUUCCUUUUUUCUACAACUCAUUUGGUCUUCUCUUUUGUUGCAGAAGCAUGUGCCACCGAUUUCUAUCCCUCAAAAUAGUUGAAAAAAUUGUGAGAAAGGUAAAGAAAAACAGCUGUGUCACUUGCUGAGCAGAGAGACAAAUCCGAGCCUCGGAUCCGGGGGUGAAACUGGAUCCGAGGACUUCCCAAGGUGGAUCCGAGGUCGGAUCGUUCUGACCUUGGAUACACUCCUCCAAAAGUACAUACGAGGGCUCGGAUCCCUCUUGUUCACACGGAUCCGAGCUCGAAUCCGUGUUGAUUAAAUUUUCAGUUUUUCACUUCUUUCCUUUUUCUACAUUUUUGCUCCCAAUUUCUUUUGUACUUUGUCCUCUGGAUGAUCCUUGCAUUUCUUUCAACUUCGUGCACGAAUUUCAUACAUCAAUAACCUUCACAAUUUCACAAAAUUAACUCAUUAAUCCACUCAUUUAUCAAGUUUUGAACACUUAAACAAUAUUUUAAGUAAUUAUCACUAAAAGAGUUCAAAUAUGGCUUUAAUCUUCUCAAAACAUGCCAAAGAUUCAUGCCAAAUCUGUACAAAAUGUACGUUAAAUAUUCACUUAUCAAAAAACCUCUAAAAUCUCCUUUUCUUUAUCUUGCUUCUUUGAUUUCUCUAACCUGCUCGGAAAAGGCGGUAAGUUAGUUCCAACUCUAAUUAUAGAAUCAGGAAUUAUCUUUGGAUUCGCAUUUCUCAUUCCUUCCUCCUCAAGCUCUUUGUCAAUUCAAUCUUCAUUUUUAUCUUUCGGAAUCACAAGUUCGGAUCUCUGAAUUUUCUUCCCGUUCCUUAAGAUCAUUGCACUUACAUUUUUCAGGUUCAGUUCAGGUUGAGACGGUAAUUUUUCAUAAACUUGGGAUUCCAGGCGGUUGAUUGCUAUUGCCAUCUAACUCAUCUGAUUCUGCAUUACUUGCAUCUGUCCCAAUUGAUUUUUCAUACUUUGUAGGUCAGAAUCCAUUUUUUGUUGAUUAGCAAUUAAUUGCUUCAUCAUCUCUUCUAUAGACAGACUUGAGUUUGAAGGAGGUGGUGGCGGGCGAGACUGAUACUGUUAUUGAUACCCUUGCUGUCUAUUUGGUGUAAAAUCUGGCUGCCUAUUUCCUCCAUAGUUGAGGUUGGAAUGAUCUCUCCAACCAGGAUUGUAUGUAUUCGUGUACGGGUCGUAUGGCUUUCUUAGCACGGGCGCGUAACCAGCCAUGUUCACUUGCUCCGUACUUUUCUCUUGAAUCAUUGAGCACAUCUCUGUAGAAUGACCCAUAGCAGUGCAGAUCCCACACAAUUUGGCUCGUGAUGUAUUUCCUAUAGCUAAUUGCCUAACAAAGGAUGUUAAUUCGGUCAACUGCUAUUGGAUGGAAUAUGUCUCUACCUCAUUUACUUUGCGUGUCGGGACAUCUUCCCUCGUAUCAAACUGUUACGAAUUCUCCGUCAUUCCUUCAAUUAGCUCCUACGCUUCUCAAGAAAUUUUGUUCACCAAUGCCCCUUCACUUGCAGCAUCAAUUAUACUCCUGUCUCUAAAAAACAGCCCCUCGUAAAAAUAUUGGAUGAGCAAUUACUCACUUAUUUGGUGUUGAGGGAACUUGAUGCAUAACUUCUUGAAUCACUCCCAAUAAUCAUAAAGCGACUCUUCUAGAUACUGCUUGAUACCGCAUAUCUCCUUCCUUAGGCUUGCAGCUCGAGACGCAAGAAAAUAUUUGUUCAAAAACUUUUUCUUCAACUGAUCCCACGUGGUGAUGCUACUUGGUGGUAAGUAGUACAGUCAGUCUUUUGCGGAGUCCUUCAAGGAGAAGCAGAAUGCUCUCAUUUUUAUCUGUUCUUCUGUAAUUUCCGGAGGUUUCAUACUGUUGCAAACGACAUCAAACUCUUGCAAAUACUUAUACGGUUCCUCACCUGCUAAAUCAUAAAAAGAUGACAAGAGAUGAAUUAGACCAGAUUUUAACUCAAAUGGAGUGGUUAUCAUUUAAAUAUGGAAAAGUAAUACAUAAGGGCUGCUGUUUUAAAUCAGGAGCAGCAAACUCCCUUAGUAUCCGUGCAUUAGCCAUAGUGACUUCUUCUCGAUCCGAGUCACUAGAAGUAUCACUAUGUGAAUCUGUUAGUUCAACUUCUGGCUUAGGUCUUUGAGAUGAAGCACUGGAGUGCUCUUCUCUAAGUUGUCCGGUCUCUUUCCUUAUUUUAUGCGCAGUCUUCUCUACCUCGGGGUCAAAAAUUAAUUCACCUGUAUGAGAAGAAUGAGGCAUAUACUAGGAAAGCACUAGAAAAUUAGAACAAAAAUGAACCUAAAAAGAAACAAAUAAACCAACACCAGUCCCUGACAACGGCGCUAAAAAUUGACAGGUUAUCGAUGCCUGUGCAAUAAUAAAAAUAAACCUAGUUGCCAAUUAAAAUAAUCAGAGCCCAAUUCUGAGUACUGGAGCAGGGACUAUAGGUGUGUAAUGGGUUACUUGAUUCACCCUAUUCCCGAAGAGUUUGCUUAACCCGAUAUACCAGAAUGAGAUUGCUUAUUCAAAAUGAAUUGUUGAUUUGUAAACAGGGCAAGUAGGGUCGUAUCCUCAGGGAUUGGAAAAAAUUUGUUUCUUUUCAAAUCCACAGUAACAAGGAGGUGUUUUUGUAUAAACGAUAACAAUCUAAGGAGUGCAAAUAGAAAUAAAUAGAUAACUAGAAAUUAAAUGACAAUUCACUAAAAUUAGAAUAAUAAUAAUUAAAGGUCUAGCCAAGAAAUAAUUUCAGCAAUGGUUCACCUAAUUGAUCAUCGACGCAAAGGCAAUUCCAAUUAUUUACUAAUAAAUAGAUUAUAACUGUCAAACAAGUGAUGAUAGUCAACCCCUCCUUACUGUAUCAGUGAUUAAGGUAUGUCCGUUAAUCACUGCUAUAAUUGAGAAAUAAUCUUAGGUACGUCCGUAAGAUUUAAUUCCCCAAUUGCCUUACGUAUUAGAGGAGCCCUAUUCUAACCAAAUAACGCACUAUCAGGAUUAUUUUAAAUUAGCCCAUGUAUUCCCUUGAUACAAACCCAAUCAUGCCAGUUGUCACUAUUUCAAGGCAAUGAAACAAUUACGGAUUUAAUGCCCUAAUUGACUAUAGGUUACUAAAUCAAUUCACUAUCUCGAUCCAAGAUAAUCAAUCAAUUUAACAACUAAUAGCACUGCAAUCGGAGAAUAUGUAAAUACCAAUAAAUAAGAGGAAAAGAUAAAAUUAAAUCGAUCUCACAAUUUUUAGACAAACCAAAGCAUCAGUUAUUUCUUGACUAGAAAAGAAAAUUUAGUUCAUUCCUAAUGCGAAAGACCCACGCGAGAAUUCAAAAAUAAUAUUCACGGACAUCGUCUUGAUCCAGUAGAUUCAAUUGCGUUGGAAUAAGGAUAAAAAACCAAACUACAGAGAGUGAUUCAUUGUUUUGUUUCGUCUGCACUUUUUCUACACAUACGGAAGAAGAAAAACAACUAAAGGAUGAAAAAAGAAAAGUCAAAGAAAGCCACCCAAAGUAGUGCUUGGUCUCUACCAUCCUAUUUCCUAUCUAAUUACUACUUCCCUUCUGCGGCUGCCUAGAGGAAGAAAGAAAAGGAGACUCCAGGUCUUGUUCCAUCUCCUCCCUUUUCGGCAAUUCCCCAAAAGUAGAAAAGUUCCUCCGUUUACCAAAAUGCCCCUGGAAUGAGGACCGCUACUUGAACUCAUUUCCUGAUGACUGUCAAAUUGACACUUGUUAUGGUAUUUGCGUUCCACUCCCUGUAAUAAAUGCAAAUUGUCAAAAGUGAGUAAAAUUUGACAAUUAAUUUAAAUCGGGUCAGGUAAUAGGGGAAAUUAAUUAUAAAAUAAAUGAUAAAAUUGUAACCUAUCACUUAGAAUAACUAGAAAUAAAACAAAACAAGAAAUGAAAGAAAUAAGAGGGGUAGCAUAGACAUUUUGGAUUUUUCUGUUAAUUUGGAUGAUUUCCACCCACGGUCUAAUUUAAUCCAAAACACAAAUGGAUUAUGUGGAGGUUUUUAAACAAUGAGGGAGUAUCAUGAUCGAAUUCUAAAACACAAAGGGGAUUUACUAUAUUUUACUCUUAAAUUUUGGUUUCAUCUCAUAGCAUACAAGAGUACUAUUUCACUGUCUGUCGACAAAGAUUUUCUAUGGUUGAUGUACCAUAGGAAAAAUCUGCCUAUACCAUCAUUUGGAAAAAUUAUCAAUCCAAACAUAGCCACCAUAGCAUUUUUUCAAAAACACAAGAUGGAAAAUUGUCCCCUUAAACGUUGAAAUUCAUGAUCUUUCCUCGACCUAGUCUACUUGUCAAUUCUUGAAAAAAGAAUAGUCACGCCUAAAACACGGCCUCUUCAUCUGCAGAAUUCUAAAAAGUUAGGUAAACUCUAUAAACAAGUUGAUAGGUACAAUCGUACCCAAGAUCAAGUACAGGUAUUUGUACAUUCACUGCUGCAAUAACUAAUCUGAUGACUUACAAACACAUCAUGGUCAAUCGUUGAAUGGUAAUGAGUCUUUUGUUAUGCAUUAGUAUUAGUGUGUACACUCUAAUAGAUUGAUACUUAUACACUUUAAAUUAUCAUAAUAAUACCCUUAAUUAACUUUAACUCUUAAAAAGAAUACGUGUUAAUACACGAGAGUGUGUAAUAGAACGGCAAGCAUUAUGGUGGUCAUUGAGCAACUUAUAGGAGAAAUAGUCCUAUAAGCUGUUCAAUGACCAAUCACAACUUGCUAAUUGGAUGACUAAUAUAGCUCUAGCUGUAAUGUUUUAAUUAAAUUCCAUCACUAACGUUGGGAUGACUUUUUAACCAAAAAAAAAAGCCUUAGUUCAAGCUCUUCCCUUUAUUGUGCAUUUUUUAAAACAUUUGAUAGGCACUGCAAAUCUGUCAUUUUGGACAUUUUAUUAUUAACUAACCAUGAAAGCCGUGGACAUCAACCCAUAUCCAACAGAAUAUUAAAUUAAUAUUAGAAAAAAUUAUUAAGUAAUUGGAAAAAAAAAAGAAGAGACUAAUUUUCAUUGAAACCCACCGACAAACUAUACGUGUCCAUAGCUUUUGAUUAGUGCAUUCAACGUUUAAUUGUAUAGUCCAGUUCAUAGCCGAUUACAUGGAGUAAAGAUUGUGCUCUUUCCUUUUUCACCCCUUUUGGAAUCGAUACUGUGGAGAAUUGGGUUUUUCCCUCCUUUUUUUCUUUUCUUUCCUUCUGUGCUUUGCAAAACAUAGGUAAAAAUAUGAAAUCCGAAGCAUUCUUUAAUUGGGAUUAAGUAUUGUUCUUGAAAUUAAAAAGAAGAAAGAAAGAACAACAAAAAUCCCAAUCUGGGUUGAUUGUUGAGCUCUAGUUUGGCGGCAUCGUGCUUCCAUAGAAGUUCUCUUAGUGUGAUACGCUGCUUUCAAUCAGUUUAACACGGGAAAAAGAAAAGACAUGAAAAGCAAAUUUUGUGGGGAUAAUUUCAGAAAUCUCUCCUGAAGUUUUUUACUAUUUUACUGGCCUCCUUUCAAAUUUUAAAAAUUACACUAGUCUUCCUUGAGAUUAUUUAUCUUGUAACAUUUAGGUCCAAUCAAUAAUUAAAAGAUGAUAUUAUGAGAGAGAAAAAAAUAUGAUUUUAUCAUUGCCCCCAUCUUACUACAUUAUUGAAUUAAUUUAAUAGCAACCCACACAUUAAAGAAAAAUACUAAUAUUUGCUGUUUUUCAUUGAAGAUCAAAUCACAUGUGCCAUAAAAUAUAGUAUAUCAUUUUAUAUAUUUCACUUAAUGUAAGAUCCAAAUUAUUCUUUUCAAUUACAAAUCCAUUGUUAUUAUAAAAAAAAAAAUAAACUUUAACAUCAUAAAUAUUCUUAUCAAAAUAUUAAAGUUAGUUACUAAAAUUUUUAUGGUGUUAAAGUUCACUCUUUGUAAUAUUUAUGGGUUUGUAAUUGAAAAGAAUAAUUUGGAUCUUACAUUAAGUGAAAUAUAUAGAAUGAUAUACUAUUUUUUAUGGCAUAUGUGAUUCAAUCCUUGAUGAUAAAAAGCAAAUUCAAGUGUUUUCUUUAAUGUUUGUGCUGAUAUUAGAUUAAUUAAAUAAUUUAGUAGAUGAAAGAAAAUAGUGAAAUCAUAUUAUUUUUUCUUUCCUAAUAUCACUUUUUAAUUAUUGGUUGAACUUAGAUAUUACAAAAUAAUAAAUCUCAAGGGAGAUUAGUAUAAUUUUCAAAAUUUGGAGAGAAGCUAAUGAAAUAAUCAAAAACCUUAAGGGAGGUUUACAGAAUUAUCCCAAUUAUGUGGGAAUUAGAAUAAUUGUACUGGACGGCACUGCUGCAAUAGAGGGAAAGAGGAGAAGGUGCAGUUAACUUUUGUUGUUUGAAAUCCUUGGCGAAAUAUUACAGAAAGACAGAUAAAACGGUGGUUAGUACAUAAAUGUUUAUGACAGGGAAAAUGGUACGUCUGUUAAUCACAUUUGAAACAUUUUCAUUGGUGAAUGACCAAAAGUAUCAGGCUUGUCCAAUAGUUGAUCAUUGACCAAGAUAAAACCUGCCAUGGUAGAGCCGUAGAGGUACGAUCUUUUCGUACCUCUUAGUGCACAGGACAUUCCUUUGUUUCAUCUAGCUAAUAAUCUACCAACUCAUUUCUUCACAAAUGCACCUUUUAUGGUCACGUCUACGAAAGCCUUUACAGGAUCUUUACCCUAAAAAUCAAUUCACCGACUCCCAUUUGAUGUCAGAAAUUCUUCUACUUUACUCCAAGAUUGACUGUUAAUAAUAAUGAGACAAUGACCACUUUGAAUUAGGGGUGCGCAAAAUUAUCUGCUAAUCCGAAAAUCCGUCAUAUUCGAUCUGAUCCGAUCCAAAAAUUAGGAUAUUUGAUUUUUAUUAUUUGAUCGGAUCAAAAGAGGGUCGGGUAUCCGCUAAGAUACGGGGCGAGUUAGAGUCACAUAAUUAAAAAUUCGCGGGUAUCCGAUCCGCCCCGCAUAUAUAUAUUUUUUAUUUUUAUACACACUAUAAAAUAAUAAGUUAGAACCAAAUAAGUAAUUUUAUUGAACAAAUUGCAUUACAAAUAUGAGAGACUAUAGUUUAUUUACAAGAUUCAUUUGUAAAGGUCAUGAUCUUAUAUUUUAUAGAAAAAAGUUUAAUUAAUGUGGAACAUAUAUAUUAAAAAUUGUGCUACUUAUUUCAAACUUUUAUUGAUUUUGAUUUCUUUUAAUUUUUUUCCUUUAUCUUAUAUUCUCUUCAUAUGCUUGUUUCUUGGUGGGAAACCUUUUUUUAGAAAAAAAAAAUUAUUAAAUCUUAGAUGAAUGUGUAAAAUAUAAAAUUAAAUUAGUAUAAAUCAUUUUUUUAAAAAAAUUAAAUGAUAAACGGGACGGAACGGGUACCCGCUGAUCCGACCCUAUCUUAUCGGGUACCCGCUGAUAUGCGGGGCAGGUAAAAAUCAGAAAAUGACUGACCUGUAAGGUGCAGGUCGAAUCAAUCAAAUGGUGAAUGGGACGGGUAUACGACCCGCGCCAACACCUACUUUGAAUUAUCACACCAUCCUUCUUGAUAGGAUUGGUACUAGAGGUAGGGAGGGGAGUCGGCUGCAUCCGGUCUUCUUUUCAUAGAUGUCAUUCACGCAAUAUUAUAUUUCGAAGUCAUUGCAUGGCUAAGCUGCAAAAAAGUACGAACACUUGUUAUUAUAUAGCUUAAGAUUCAAAACGUUAGAGCAUAACCCUCCACCUAACACAAUUGAAUAAUGAAUAUUCACGAUUGUCAAAUCUGUCAAAGCACAGUUUGAGGACAACCCAUUCCAACCUGCAAAAGAUUUUUUACUUUUCUAAAGUUGUUGAGAGCUGUAAAAAGACUUACCAUGCUUACAUCUUCCGAGCCUUGGGAGUUAAAAAUGAAGGCACUGAGUGCUAUAAAAAGGGGGCUAGAGGCUGCCUAGAAGCAUAUCAGCCUAAAACAAGAAUUUGUAGUUAUGAUGGGAAGCAAAGCAAAAGCAAUGGGGUCUGGGCUGACUCCUCUUCUUACCACUCUUUUAGUGGUAUUUGUUGCUCUUGGCUUGCCCUCAGAAACUGCAGCUGAUGAUCACUACAAGUAUUCAUCUCCUCCUCCUCCUUACCACUAUCCCUCACCACCACCUCCAGAGCAUUUACCUCCACCAGUGUACAAAUACAAGUCCCCACCACCACCUCAUCAUGUUUACAAGUACAAAUCUCCACCACCCCCACCACCACACCCAGUUUACAAGUAUAAGUCGCCACCACCACCUCCUCAUCCGGUACCACACCCAGUUUACAAGUAUAAGUCACCACCACCACCUCCUCAUCCGGUACCACACCCAGUUUACAAGUAUAAGUCACCACCACCACCUCCUCAUCCGGUAUACAAGUAUAAGUCUCCUCCGCCACACCACACCCAGUUUACAAGUAUAAGUCACCACCACCACCUCCUCAUCCGGUACCACACCCAGUUUACAAGUAUAAGUCACCACCACCACCUCCUCAUCCGGUAUACAAGUAUAAGUCUCCUCCGCCACCACCACACCCAGUUUACAAGUAUAAGUCACCACCACCACCUCCUCAUCCGGUACCACACCCAGUUUACAAGUACAAGUCACCACCACCUCCUCCCCCAGUUUACAAAUACAAGUCUCCACCACCACCAGUUUACCACUACAAGUCACCACCACCUCCUCCCCCAGUUUACAAAUACAAGUCUCCACCACCUCCUCACCACUACUAAGCAAUUGCUUCUGAGGUAAUAACAC